AGAGACAGCAGUAGCCGCGGUAAUACGAAGGGUGCAAGCGUUAAUCGGAAUUACUGGGCGUAAAGCGUGCGUAGGCGGUGAGUUAAGUCUGCUGUGAAAUCCCCGGGCUCAACCUGGGAAUGGCAAUGGAUACUGGCAAGCUAGAGUGUGUCAGAGGAUGGUGGAAUUCCCGGUGUAGCGGUGAAAUGCGUAGAGAUCGGGAGGAACAUCAGUGGCGGAGGCGGCCAUCUGGGACAACACUGACGCUGAGGCACGAAAGCGUGGGGAGCAAACAGGAUUAGAUACCCCAGUAGUCCCUGUCUCUUAUAA
Molecule: ribosomal RNA, 309 nt
Filed under: uncultured bacterium
Lineage: Bacteria
Description: partial 16S ribosomal RNA
Rfam family: Bacterial small subunit ribosomal RNA
Source: RNAcentral